AAUAGAUACCCGGGUAGUCCCAGCCAUCAACGAUGGAUACUGGAUAUUCCUGCACUCAUGUGGGAGUGUCGAAGCCAACGCGUUAAGUAUCCCGCCUGGGGAGUACGGUCGCAAGAUUGAAACUCAAAGGGAUUGACGGGGGCCCGCACAAGCGGUGGAGCAUGUGGUUUAAUUCGACGCAACGCGAAGAACCUUACCUGGGCUUGAACUGUCGGUAUAGGGACCCGAAAGGGCGACGAUCCCGGGCAACCGGGAAGCCGAUAGAGGUGCUGCAUGGCUGUCGUCAGCUCGUGUCGUGAGAUGUUGGGUUAAGUCCCGCAACGAGCGCAACCCUUGUCUUUAGUUGCCAGCGAGUCAUGUCGGGCACUCUAAGGAGACUGCCUCGGAUAACGAGGAGGAAGGUGGGGAUGACGCCAAGUCAGCAUGGCCUUUAUGUCCAGGGCUACACACGUGCUACGAAUGGGCGGCACGAGAAGGACGCGAGACCGCGAGGUCAAGCCAACCCUUAAAACCGUUCUCAGUUCGGAUUGCAG
This 533-nucleotide ribosomal RNA is filed under the name uncultured bacterium. RNAcentral describes it as "bacterial SSU rRNA". It matches the Rfam family "Bacterial small subunit ribosomal RNA", at positions 777 to 1303 of the family's 1533-position model. The record is from RNAcentral.